CUCGAUCUCUCUCUCUCUCUCUCUGUUGUUGCCGGCCCUGAUGAUUUCUUUUCCGAUUUUGCUGUCGCCUUCGUCGAUUUCUCCGUCGUUGUCCCGUCCUCGUGUCGCCAUCAUCUCUACAUCACUCUCGAUUUCUCUCAGUUUGGUUUAAUUUAUAUUCAUAUAUCAGUGGUAUCGAUGUGUCUAUGGUGAUGAAGUAUGCUGACAAAAUUGUGAAGGUGUAUUCGACUUCUGUAGCAAUGCUAAGUAACAAGAAUGUCCUUCUCAAUGGCUUUCUUGAGGAGGUAUAUAUGGAUCGACCACCACAGUUUGCCUGUUGAGACAAUUUUUGAGGUUCUUGUACUGUUUGGUCUGUUUACAGGUGAUGACUGUUUUGUUUCCUACGAAGAAUUAUAGGACAAACGAAUCAUUUGUUGUCUAAAUGGGUGCAGGAAGCAAUUUAUGAUCCUUGAAUGACACCAAUACUUCCUACAGAUACAAGUAUCUUAUGAUUACAUCAGGGAACUUGUUUUCAAACAGAAGCAUCUGCUACAUUUGAUCUCUGAAUAUGGUCUGCUGGGGUGCAUCCAACUGGGAAAAUUAUCAGAUUUUAUGAUAAUAUGUGAAAAUAGUUUUUGAUUGUGGCUUUUGUGUUAACAUGACAAGAUCUUGGAAGAAAUGGUGCUACAUGACAGGCUCUAGCACAUGUUUGAGAAGGUGGUCAACCAAUCAAAAGAAUUAGAUCUAACUCACACUUUUGGUUGAUACAGAGGAUAUUUAUGGACUCCUUGGACGGGUCUGCUAGUAGUAGUACUGUGGCUUUUAUAUGUAGGUCUUUAUUAAGUGUUAGGAACUCUCUCAUUUGAAAGAUAUUUUGAAUU
This is a long non-coding RNA of Cynara cardunculus var. scolymus (artichoke), 860 nucleotides long. RefSeq lists it as uncharacterized. The transcript has 5 exons. Lineage: Eukaryota; Viridiplantae; Streptophyta; Magnoliopsida; Asterales; Asteraceae. The record is from RefSeq and is a predicted model, not a curated record.